AACGAACGCUGGCGGCAGGCCUAACACAUGCAAGUCGAGCGCCCUUUCGGGGGCGCGGCGGUCGGGUGAGUAACGCGUGGGAAUAUGCCCUUCUCUACGGAAUAGCCUCGGGAAACUGAGAGUAAUACCGUAUACGCCCUGUGGGGGAAAGAUUUAUCGGGGAAGGAUUAGCCCGCGUGGGAUUAGGUAGUUGGUGGGGUGAUGGCCUACCAAGCCGACGAUCCAUAGCUGGGUUGAGAGGAUGAUCAGCCACACUGGGACUGCGACACGGCCCAGACUCCUACGGGAGGCAGCAGUGGGGAAUCUUAGACAAUGGGGGCAACCCUGAUCUAGCCAUGCCGCGUGAGUGAUGAAGGCCUUAGGGUUGUAAAGCUCUUUAAGCUGGGAAGAUAAUGACGGUACCAGCAGAAGAAGCCCCGGCUAACUCCGUG
Molecule: ribosomal RNA, 431 nt
Filed under: uncultured bacterium
Lineage: Bacteria
Description: partial 16S ribosomal RNA
Rfam family: Bacterial small subunit ribosomal RNA
Source: RNAcentral